This 1411-nucleotide ribosomal RNA is filed under the name Clostridioides difficile. RNAcentral's name for it is "partial 23S ribosomal RNA". It matches the Rfam family "Bacterial large subunit ribosomal RNA", at positions 10 to 1434 of the family's 2925-position model. The record is from RNAcentral. Lineage: Bacteria; Bacillati; Bacillota; Clostridia; Peptostreptococcales; Peptostreptococcaceae.
AUUAAGGGUGCAGGGCGGAUGCCUUGGCACUAGGAGCCGAUGAAGGACGUGAUAAGCUGCGAUAAGCUUCGGGGAGUUGCACGUAAACUUUGAUCCGAAGAUUUCCGAAUGAGGAAACUCACUUAGAGUAAUGUCUAAGUAUCAUUAAGUGAAUACAUAGCUUAAUGAGGGGAACUCAGGGAACUGAAACAUCUAAGUACCUGAAGGAAGAGAAAGAAAUUCGAUUCCGUAAGUAGCGGCGAGCGAACGCGGAUUAGCCCAAACCAAUAAAGUUUUCUUUAUUGGGGUUGCGGACAUAUCAUAACGGAGAGGUAUCGUAAUUGAAGAGGUUUGGAAAGACCCACCACAGAAGGUAAUAGUCCUGUAUGUUAAACGAGAAGACUUUAGAUAUGAUCCAGAGUACCACGGGACACGUGAAACCCUGUGGGAAGCAGGAGGGACCACCCUCCAAGGCUAAAUACUACCUAGUGACCGAUAGCGUAUAGUACCGUGAGGGAAAGGUGAAAAGAACCCCGGGAGGGGAGUGAAAUAGAACCUGAAACCCUGCACUUACAAGCUGUGGAAGCACAUUUCUUGUGUGACCGCGUACUUUUUGUAGAACGGGCCAACGAGUUACGUUAAGUAGCAAGGUUAAGCACUUAAGGUGCGGAGCCGUAGCGAAAGCGAGUUUUAACUGAGCGUUCAGUUACUUGACGUAGACCCGAAACCGGGCGACCUACCCAUGAGCAGGAUGAAGCGAAAGUAAAAUUUCGUGGAGGUCCGAACCCACGAGCGUUGAAAAGCUCGGGGAUGACUUGUGGGUAGCGGUGAAAUUCCAAUCGAGCCCGGAGAUAGCUGGUUCUCCCCGAAAUAGCUUUAGGGCUAGCCUCAAGGUGAGAGAUACGGAGGUAGAGCACUGAAUGUCCUAGGGGGUAUUGCACCUACCGAAGACUAUCAAACUCCGAAUGCCGUCAUCUUAUACUUGGGAGUCAGACUGUGGGUGAUAAGAUUCAUAGUCGAAAGGGCAACAGCCCAGAUCGUCAGCUAAGGUCCCUAAAUGUAAGUUAAGUGGUAAAGGAUGUGGGAUUGCACAGACAACCAGGAUGUUGGCUUAGAAGCAGCCACUCAUUCAAAGAGUGCGUAAUAGCUCACUGGUCGAGUGAUCCUGCGCCGAAGAUUUCCGGGGCUAAAACUUACUACCGAAGCUACGGCAUCAGUAAUGAUGGGUAGGGGAGCUUCCCAUACGGGUUGAAGCAUGACCGUAAGGACAUGUGGACAGUAUGGGAGUGAGAAUGUUGGCAUGAGUAGCGAGAUGUGGGUGAGAAUCCCACAGGCCGUAAACCCAAGGUUUCCAGGGGAAGGUUCGUCCGCCCUGGGUUAGUCGGGACCUAAGCUGAGGCCGAAAGGCGUAGGUGAUGGACAACAGGUUGAU